This 145-nucleotide ribosomal RNA is filed under the name uncultured bacterium. RNAcentral's name for it is "partial 16S ribosomal RNA". It matches the Rfam family "Bacterial small subunit ribosomal RNA", at positions 224 to 368 of the family's 1533-position model. The record is from RNAcentral.
GAUGAGCCUGCGUUGGAUUAGCUUGUUGGUGAGGUAAAGGCUCACCAAGGCGACGAUCCAUAGCUGGUCUGAGAGGAUGAUCAGCCACACCGGGACUGAGACACGGCCCGGACUCCUACGGGAGGCAGCAGUGGGGAAUAUUGCG